AGGAUAAACGCUGGCGGCGUGCCUAACACAUGCAAGUCGAACGCGCUUUCGGGCUUCGGUGCGAGAGCGAGUGGCGGACGGGUGAGUAACACAUGGGUACCUGCCUUUCAGUGAGGGAUACCGGCGAGAAAUCGCCGACAAUACCGCAUGGGCUUGUGGGAACACAAGCAAAGUGGCGCAAGCCACGCUGGAAGAUGGGCCUGUGGCCGAUUAGCUAGUUGGGGGGGUAACGCCUCCCAAGGCGACGAUCGGUAGCUGGUCUGAGAGGACGAUCAGCCACACUGGGAUUGAGAACGGCCCAGACUCCUACGGGGGGCAGCAGUGAGGAAUUUUCCGCAAUGGACGAAAGUCUGACGGAGCAACGCCGCGUGCAGGAGGAAGGUUUUCGGAUCGUAAACUGCUUUUCGCGGGGUACGAGCAAGGACGGUACCCGAGGAACGAAGCCCCGGCUAACGUACGUGCCAGCAGCCGC
This 472-nucleotide ribosomal RNA is filed under the name uncultured bacterium. Its description in RNAcentral is "SSU rRNA". It matches the Rfam family "Bacterial small subunit ribosomal RNA", at positions 26 to 518 of the family's 1533-position model. The record is from RNAcentral.